Molecule: ribosomal RNA, 253 nt
Filed under: uncultured bacterium
Lineage: Bacteria
Description: partial 16S ribosomal RNA
Rfam family: Bacterial small subunit ribosomal RNA
Source: RNAcentral
CACGUAGGGCGCAAGCGUUGUCCGGAAUUACUGGGCGUAAAGAGCUCGUAGGCGGUUUGUCGCGUCUGCUGUGAAAUCCCGAGGCUCAACCUCGGGCCUGCAGUGGGUACGGGCAGACUGGAGUGCGGUAGGGGAGAAUGGAAUUCCUGGUGUAGCGGUGGAAUGCGCAGAUAUCAGGAGGAACACCGAUGGCGAAGGCAGUUCUCUGGGCCGUAACUGACGCUGAGGAGCGAAAGCGUGGGGAGCGAACAGG